GAUGAACGCUGGCGAUAGGCUUAACACAUGCAAGUCGAGGGGCAUCGGGGUGUAGCAAUACACUGCCGGCGACCGGCGCACGGGUGAGUAACAGGUAUGCAACCUGCCUUUAAGCGAGGGAUAACCCGGAGAAAUCCGGACUAAUACCUCAUGAGGCGUAUAAACCGCAUGGUUUAUGCGUCAAAGAUUUAUUGCUUAAAGAUGGGCAUGCUUUUCAUUAGCUUGUUGGCGGGGUAACGGCCCACCAAGGCAACGAUGAAUAGGGGCACUGAGAGGUUUGUCCCCCACACCGGUACUGAGACACGGACCGGACUCCUACGGGAGGCAGCAGUGAGGAAUAUUGGUCAAUGGGCGAGAGCCUGAACCAGCCAAAUCGCGUGAAGGAAGACGGUAUUAUGUAUUGUAAACUUCUUUUAUAUAAGAAUAAAAAAGGUUAUGUAUAACCUGUUGAAAGUAUUAUAUGAAUAAGGAUCGGCUAACUCCGUGCCAGCAGCCGCGGUAAUACGGAGGAUCCGAGCGUUAUCCGGAUUUAUUGGGUUUAAAGGGUGCGUAGGCGGGAUUAUAAGUCGGCGGUGAAAGUUUGCAGCUUAACUGUAAAAUAGCCGUUGAAACUGUAGUUCUUGAGAGUAUCAGAGGUAGGCGGAAUGCGCGGUGUAGCGGUGAAAUGCAUAGAUAUCGCGCAGAACCCCGAUUGCGAAGGCAGCUUACCGGAGUACAUCUGACGCUGAAGCACGAAAGCGUGGGUGUCAAACAGGAUUAGAUACCCUGGUAGUCCACGCCGUAAACCAUGAUUACUAGUUGUUUGCGAUAUACUGUAAGUGACACAGCGAAAGCGUUAAGUAAUCCACCUGGGGAGUACGCCGGCAACGGUGAAACUCAAAGGAAUUGACGGGGGCCCGCACAAGCGGAGGAACAUGUGGUUUAAUUCGAUGAUACGCGAGGAACCUUACCCGGGCUCGAACGGCAUAUGAAUGCGGUUGAAAGAUCGCAGCUGUCAAUAGCAUAUGUCGAGGUGCUGCAUGGUUGUCGUCAGCUCGUGCCGUGAGGUGUCGGCUUAAGUGCCAUAACGAGCGCAACCCUUACCGACAGUUACCAUCGGGUCAAGCCGGGGACUCUGUCGGAACUGCCGCCGUAAGGUGAGAGGAAGGUGGGGAUGACGUCAAAUCAGCACGGCCCUUACGUCCGGGGCGACACACGUGUUACAAUGGACGGUACAGAGGGCAGCUACACGGCGACGUGAUGCUAAUCUCCUAAAGCCGUUCUCAGUUCGGAUCGGAGUCUGCAACCCGACUCCGUGAAGCUGGAUUCGCUAGUAAUCGCGCAUCAGCCAUGGCGCGGUGAAUACGUUCCCGGGCCU
This 1357-nucleotide ribosomal RNA is filed under the name uncultured bacterium. RNAcentral describes it as "bacterial SSU rRNA". It matches the Rfam family "Bacterial small subunit ribosomal RNA", at positions 28 to 1381 of the family's 1533-position model. The record is from RNAcentral.